This 668-nucleotide long non-coding RNA is filed under the name Oreochromis niloticus (Nile tilapia). Its description in RNAcentral is "lncRNA (ENSONIG00000043193.1)". The record is from RNAcentral. Lineage: Eukaryota; Metazoa; Chordata; Actinopteri; Cichliformes; Cichlidae.
ACAGAACUGUGCACGUGCAGUAGAGUGGAGGGAGAGCUGAAUGAUGUGGAGAUUCAGCUUGAGCAUGCUAUCCGGAACAAAGCAGAGUUGGUCAAAACCCUCAAAAAGCUGCAGCAGCAGAUCAAAGAGCUGCAGGUGCAGAUGGAUGAGGACGCCCGUCAGCACCAGGAGCUGAGGGAGAAGUACAGCCUGCAGGAGCGCCGUCUCUGUCUCGUGGAGGUGAGAUGGAGGAGAUGAGAGGAGGCCACCCUCCUCUUUCUCACACAGAGACAUUAACACAUGCAGACAGACGUACACUGGCUGUUUUCUUACAGCUGCACUUUUCUUUUCUUAUCACAGAGUCAAAGUCUGAGCAUCCUGAGGGAAAACUAGAGUGUUUCGCUGCUGAAGAGAGAUCCAAGAAGGCUGUGACUGAUGCGACGCGACCGUGUGAGGAGCUUCAGCAGGAGCAGGAAUGGAGCUCCCACCUCGAGAAGAUCAAGAAGAACCAAGAGCAGAACCUCAGAGAUCUCACGCUGAAGCUGGAGGGGGCCAAGCAGCAGGCACCAAGGCUGGAAGACGCGCCAUCCAGAAACUGGAACCUGGGGUCAGUUUUAUUAAAUGUAAACCCCACAGCAGCUUCAGGAUCCGCCUGUUGUGUCAGUUCGUUCUUCUUUCAAGUAGAUUAA